This 455-nucleotide ribosomal RNA is filed under the name Salmonella enterica. Its description in RNAcentral is "bacterial SSU rRNA". It matches the Rfam family "Bacterial small subunit ribosomal RNA", at positions 1 to 454 of the family's 1533-position model. The record is from RNAcentral. Lineage: Bacteria; Pseudomonadati; Pseudomonadota; Gammaproteobacteria; Enterobacterales; Enterobacteriaceae.
AAAUUGAAGAGUUUGAUCAUGGCUCAGAUUGAACGCUGGCGGCAGGCCUAACACAUGCAAGUCGAACGGUAGCACAGAGAGCUUGCUCUCGGGUGACGAGUGGCGGACGGGUGAGUAAUGUCUGGGAAACUGCCUGAUGGAGGGGGAUAACUACUGGAAACGGUGGCUAAUACCGCAUAACGUCGCAAGACCAAAGAGGGGGACCUUCGGGCCUCUUGCCAUCAGAUGUGCCCAGAUGGGAUUAGCUAGUUGGUGAGGUAACGGCUCACCAAGGCGACGAUCCCUAGCUGGUCUGAGAGGAUGACCAGCCACACUGGAACUGAGACACGGUCCAGACUCCUACGGGAGGCAGCAGUGGGGAAUAUUGCACAAUGGGCGCAAGCCUGAUGCAGCCAUGCCGCGUGUAUGAAGAAGGCCUUCGGGUUGUAAAGUACUUUCAGCGGGGAGGAAGGUGU